RNAcentral lists this ribosomal RNA (490 nucleotides) under uncultured bacterium. RNAcentral's name for it is "partial 16S ribosomal RNA". It matches the Rfam family "Bacterial small subunit ribosomal RNA", at positions 30 to 507 of the family's 1533-position model. The record is from RNAcentral.
AUUGAACGCUGGCGGUAGGCCUAACACAUGCAAGUCGAACGGUAACAGGAAGCAGCUUGCUGCUUUGCUGACGAGUGGCGGACGGGUGAGUAAUGUCUGGGAAACUGCCUGAUGGAGGGGGAUAACUACUGGAAACGGUAGCUAAUACCGCAUAACGUCGCAAGACCAAAGAGGGGGACCUUCGGGCCUCUUGCCAUCGGAUGUGCCCAGAUGGGAUUAGCUAGUAGGUGGGGUAACGGCUCACCUAGGCGACGAUCCCUAGCUGGUCUGAGAGGAUGACCAGCCACACUGGAACUGAGACACGGUCCAGACUCCUACGGGAGGCAGCAGUGGGGAAUAUUGCACAAUGGGCGCAAGCCUGAUGCAGCCAUGCCGCGUGUAUGAAGAAGGCCUUCGGGUUGUAAAGUACUUUCAGCGGGGAGGAAGGGAGUAAAGUUAAUACCUUUGCUCAUUGACGUUACCCGCAGAAGAAGCACCGGCUAACUCCGUG